This 468-nucleotide ribosomal RNA is filed under the name uncultured bacterium. Its description in RNAcentral is "partial 16S ribosomal RNA". It matches the Rfam family "Bacterial small subunit ribosomal RNA", at positions 28 to 507 of the family's 1533-position model. The record is from RNAcentral.
GACGAACGCUGGCGGCGUGCUUAACACAUGCAAGUCGAACGGAAAGGCCCUGCUUUUGUGGGGUGCUCGAGUGGCGAACGGGUGAGUAACACGUGAGUAACCUGCCCUUGACUUUGGGAUAACUUCAGGAAACUGGGGCUAAUACCGGAUAGGAGCUCCUGCUGCAUGGUGGGGGUUGGAAAGUUUCGGCGGUUGGGGAUGGACUCGCGGCUUAUCAGCUUGUUGGUGGGGUAGUGGCUUACCAAGGCUUUGACGGGUAGCCGGCCUGGGAGGGUGACCGGCCACAUUGGGACUGAGAUACGGCCCAGACUCCUACGGGCGGCAGCAGUGGGGAAUCUUGCACAGUGGGCGGGCGCCUGAUGCAGCAACGCCGCGUGCGGGAUGACGGCCUUCGGGUUGUAAACCGCUUUCGCCUGUGACGAAGCGUGAGUGACGGUAAUGGGUAAAGAAGCACCGGCUAACUACGUG